AACGAACGCUGGCGGCAUGUCUAACACAUGCAAGUCGAACGAGACCUUCGGGUCUAGUGGCGCACGGGUGCGUAACGCGUGGGAACCUGCCCUUAGGUUCGGAAUAACUCCCCGAAAGGGGUGCUAAUACCGGAUAAUGUCUUCGGACCAAAGAUUUAUCGCCUUUGGAUGGGCCCGCGUUGGAUUAGCUAGUUGGUAGGGUAAAAGCCUACCAAGGCGACGAUCCAUAGCUGGUCUGAGAGGAUGAUCAGCCACACUGGGACUGAGACACGGCCCAGACUCCUACGGGAGGCAGCAGUGGGGAAUAUUGGACAAUGGGCGAAAGCCUGAUCCAGCAAUGCCGCGUGAGUGAUGAAGGCCUUAGGGUUGUAAAGCUCUUUUACCCGGGAUGAUAGUGACAGUACCGGGAGAAUAAGCUCCGGCUAACUCCGUG
Molecule: ribosomal RNA, 433 nt
Filed under: uncultured bacterium
Lineage: Bacteria
Description: partial 16S ribosomal RNA
Rfam family: Bacterial small subunit ribosomal RNA
Source: RNAcentral